Molecule: long non-coding RNA, 331 nt
Organism: Cavia porcellus (domestic guinea pig)
Lineage: Eukaryota; Metazoa; Chordata; Mammalia; Rodentia; Caviidae
Exons: 3
Source: RefSeq, a predicted model, not a curated record
CAGACGGAAGUUUUGCUUAUUUGUAUCUGUACGCCAAUGCAAAGGGAGGCUACUUUGGUGAAUCUUUACGGCUUGUACUUCAGGAUGGAAAAAUUCAAGUCUACAAAUAGUUCCAUAAAUCUCUACGUUAUAACUGAGGAAGAAGAUUUCUGGAUGGCAAAAGAUUAUUUCUGAAUGUAUAGUUUUCCAAAACUUGCCCCCAUUUGUACUUUUGCUUAAACAGAUAUUCAUCUCUCUGGAUAAGAUCCCAAUCUGCCUCUUGGUUGAAGCCUUCCAUUUUUCACAAGAACAAAGAAACACAAACACAGACAAAAUCAACAACUUUGGUCAU